GAUGAACGCUGGCGGCGUGCCUAAUACAUGCAAGUCGAGCGAACAGACGAGGAGCUUGCUCCUCUGACGUUAGCGGCGGACGGGUGAGUAACACGUGGAUAACCUACCUAUAAGACUGGGAUAACUUCGGGAAACCGGAGCUAAUACCGGAUAAUAUAUUGAACCGCAUGGUUCAAUAGUGAAAGACGGUUUUGCUGUCACUUAUAGAUGGAUCCGCGCCGCAUUAGCUAGUUGGUAAGGUAACGGCUUACCAAGGCAACGAUGCGUAGCCGACCUGAGAGGAUGAUCUGCCACACUGUAACUGAGACACGGUCCAGACUCCUACGCGAGGCAGCAGUAGGGAAUCUUCCGCAAUUGGCGAAAGCUUGACGGAGCAACGCCGCGUGAGUGAUGAAGGUCUUCGGAUCGUAAAACUCUGUUAUUAGGGAAGAACAAAUGUGUAAGUAACUAUGCACGUCUUGACGGUACCUAAUCAGAAAGCCACGGCUAACUACGUG
This 497-nucleotide ribosomal RNA is filed under the name uncultured bacterium. RNAcentral's name for it is "partial 16S ribosomal RNA". It matches the Rfam family "Bacterial small subunit ribosomal RNA", at positions 28 to 507 of the family's 1533-position model. The record is from RNAcentral.